Castor canadensis (American beaver) is the source of this 299-nucleotide non-coding RNA. NCBI's taxonomy places the organism in Eukaryota, Metazoa, Chordata, Mammalia, Rodentia, Castoridae. The record is from RefSeq and is a predicted model, not a curated record.
CCAGGCCGCUGAGGCCCCAGCCGACUCCUCCUUUUCGCACCACCAUUGCGGGGGCUGGGCCUGCCGGGGGGUGGGGAAGACGACCGAAGGGGACCCAGUGUGUCCGCAAGGCGGCUGCAGGAGGACUAAGCAUGGACGGCAGCCGGAGAGUCAGAGCAACCGCGGUCCUUCCAGAUACAGUUCACCAUGCAUAUUUAAAGGCCACUUGAGCAUCAAAAGUAAUGCUUUUUGCACUGACUCCUCUUCUCUCAGACUAACCACUCUCCAGCUGGUGAAGAAUCACAUGGCUGUUCACUAUA